This 3079-nucleotide ribosomal RNA is filed under the name Zasmidium cellare. RNAcentral's name for it is "LSU rRNA". It matches the Rfam family "Bacterial large subunit ribosomal RNA". The record is from RNAcentral. Lineage: Eukaryota; Fungi; Ascomycota; Dothideomycetes; Mycosphaerellales; Mycosphaerellaceae.
GUCUAAAUUAAUAUUUUACAUUAAUAAUAUGCUUGAUAUGUAAUAUUUUAUUUCAUCAAUUUGAUGUUAAGUAUAUAAAGAAACUAUUAUGGAUAAUUUAGCAGUGUAUGAUAGAAAUAUAUAAUAUUUGGUAUACACCGAUUAAGUUCUUUGGUAAAUCAAAUUAAAAAACGAAGUUAAUUGAAAUAUCUUAGUAACUUCAGGAAAAUAAAUCAAAUGAGAUUUUCUUUUUAAUUAAAAGUUAAUAAGGAAAUAGCCUUUAAAGUAAAACGGAUAAAAUCUGUUUGAAUCUAGGGAAACCUUUCUCUAAGGCUAAAUAUCAUACACUAGCAAUAGUGAAUAGUACCGUAAGGGAAAUUUUUGAAAUAGUAGGUUUAUAAGCAGCUCAAAUUUAAUAUAAUAAAUAAACAAGAGCGUACCUUUUGCAUAAUGGGUCAGCAAGUUAAUAUUAGGUGCGAGAUUAAGUUAAAACUUAGUCCUAGACAAACCAAUUAUUAAAUAAUGAAUUAGUACCUGGUGUUAGACCCGAAGCCUAGUGAUCUUACCAUGAUCAGGGUUAUAAAAGCUCGAACAGGUUAUCGUUGUAAAGAUAUCUGAGGAAUUGUGGUAAGUUAGUGAAAGACAAAACUGACUAGGAUAGCUGGUUUUCUGCGAAACCUAUAUAAGUAGGUAGUUUAAAUAAUAUCAUUACAGGUACAGAAUUGUGAUCUCAGAUAAAUUUUAAUCUAUAUAUUAAACCUAUAUAGUUAGUUUAUAUACAUUGGGGGAUCGUGAAGAUUUUAUCAGUGAGAAUUUGCUCUCGGAAGGGUAAUGAUAAAUAUUAAAUUGUCAGACAUAGUACGAUAAGGUUGUAUGUCUAAAGGGAAACAGCCCAGAACAAGAGUUAAGGUUCCAAAAUUAUUGUUAAGUGAAAUUAAGGGAGUUUUUUUCAAAUACAACCAGGAAAUAGGCUUAGAAGCGGCCAUUUUUUAAAGACCUCGUAACAGAGCACUAGUUUAUUAUUGUAAAAAUAGCAAAAACAAUCGAAAGAAAGUAAAGUUAAACGCACCGAAAAUUUAACGGAUCUAAACUAUAUACCGAAACCUUGUGCACAAAUAAAAUUUUUGGUAUAAGUUAUCAAGUUUAUAUUUGUGAGGUAGCAGAACGUUGAGUUGUUUAACACCUAGUAUCAUUGAUAUUAAUAGCUAUAUUGCAUAAAGUAAUGUACAAACAAUCUCAAGUGAAAAUGCUGACAUGAGUAACGAAAAAGGGAAAAUCCCCUCGCCUUAAGCUUAUGGUAUUUUAUUUAAUUGCGGCCCCUAAAUUUAUUAAUCUUACCUAAAGGAUUGAAUGAUGGGAAAAUAAUUGUUCUAUAUUACAACCUUUUAGGUUCUGGAAAAAAAUAUAUUACACAAAACCGUACCUAGAAACUACCUCAAGUAAGCAAGUAGAGUAUACAAAGGCGUUUGAGAUAACAAUCAUUAAGGAACUCGGCAAAUUGACACCGUAACUUUGGGAUAAGGUGUGCCAUUAUAUUAUGACAAAAUAGAAAUAUAUAAGUUUGUCAUACGUAUAAUAGGAGACAUAGAAUGGUGUUGUACGACUGUUUAAUUAAAACAAAGCACUUUGCAUAAGAUAUAAAUCGAAGUAUUGAGUGUGAUUUCUGCCCGAUGUUGGCUGGUUAACGGAUUUUCUUAGUAUAAAUUGUAUGCUAGGUUUUGAAGGAAACCCCAAUCAAUGGCGGCCUUACCGAUGAGGGUCCUAAGGUAGCGGAAUACCCUGGCCGUUAAAUGCGGUCUUGCAUGAAUGAUUUAACGAUACAACAGCUGUCUCGAUGAUUGUCUCAGUGAAAUUGGAAUAACUGUGCAGAUACAGUUUUCUCCUAGUUAGACGAGAAGACCCUAUGCAGCUUUACUAUUUGUAGUUAUUGAAUAUGAUAUAACAAGUUGUAGAGUAUAAGGUAAUUGAUAAUUUAACAUUGAAACACCUUUACUUAGUGUAUCAUAUUAUUAGAAAAAUAAUCUAAAAAAUUGUUGAUUUUUUGGUCUAGUAGCUUAACUUUAAGAAAUAGCAUGUAUAUGUUUAUCUUUUUAAGGUAACUAUAUAUAAGUGACAUUGACUAUUAGAUAGUUUAUGCGGGGCACAGAUCCCAUAAAUAGUACCUGGGUGUAUCCAAAGUUAAUAUUGUAAAUUUAUUUUUUAUAAUGUAGUUUUUUGUUACUUUGUUUUAUAUAAAUACAAACGAUAACAAUAAAAUUAUACGUUUUAAUUUGUAAUAAAUUAAAUUUUAAUUUAUUCAACUAUAAUUCUAUUAAGUUAGAUUAAUUAUAUUUUUUAAGUAAGGUUUUUACUAUAUGGAAAAUAGAUGUUAAUAAAUCAUCUUAAAAUUAGAUGAUUUAAUUUGUUUUACAGUACAACAUUUAUUGUACUGUAAAAUGAUUAUUUAUAUAACUAGAAAAGUUUAAUGGCUUAACCUUGCUUUACUGUUUGACUUACAUGUCUAUCAGUCGCGUAAGCGGGGCAUACGAUCACAAGAUGCAGAAAGGAAAGGUCUUGGAUUUUUGAAAAAGCUACGCUAGGGAUAACAGGCUAAUUGCGCAAGAGAGUACAAAUUGAGUGCGCAGUUUGGCACCUCGAUGUCGGCUUAGCUCAUCCACAUGAAUGUAGGAAUCAUGAAGGGUACGACUGUUCGUCGGUUAAAGAGCUACACGAGCUGGGUUAAAUACGUCGUGAGACAGUAUGGUUUCUAUCUUCUAGGAGUAAUUAGAGUAAAACAAGGAUAGCCCCUUCGUACGAAAGGAGUUGGGUAUAUUAACCUCUAGUUUAUUUGUUGUUUUGUAUAUAUAAAUAAAGUUCUAUAACAGAUUGAAAAGACGCCUUUAAAGAUUCAUUAAUAAUCUUUAUAACCAGGUUGCAAAAGGCACGGCAAUAAAGCUACGUUAGUUAUAAAUAAAUGCUGAAUGCAUAUAGGCAUGAAGUUUACCUUGGUAUAUUCUUAAAUAUACGUGGUACAAUACUACGAAUUAUAAAUUGUUUAAUUUAUAAUUGUAUAGGCUUUGACUUAAAUAAUUUUGAUGUUUUAAGGUACAAAGUACUAAUU